UGUGUUGGUUUGUAUUUAACAAGUCAGACUGCUCCAUGCCUCAAAGAACUUCCAGGCUAGAUUUUAGAUAUGGCACAACAUGGGAGGACAACAAAGAAAAGGAGUCUUAAAGGGAGAGGGGCAGAAGUACAGGCUGUGUUUUAAGUGUCU
Long non-coding RNA from Mauremys reevesii (Reeves's turtle), 150 nucleotides. RefSeq lists it as uncharacterized. Lineage: Eukaryota; Metazoa; Chordata; Testudines; Geoemydidae. The transcript has 3 exons. The record is from RefSeq and is a predicted model, not a curated record.